GCCUGGCUGGUUCAGUUGAUAGAACAUGUGACUAUUGAUCUCAGGAUUGUGAGUUCAAGCCCCAUGUUGGGUA
RNAcentral lists this transfer RNA (73 nucleotides) under Mustela putorius furo (domestic ferret). It matches the Rfam family "tRNA". From Rfam's summary of the family: Transfer RNA (tRNA) molecules are approximately 80 nucleotides in length. Their secondary structure includes four short double-helical elements and three loops (D, anti-codon, and T loops). The record is from Rfam by way of RNAcentral. Lineage: Eukaryota; Metazoa; Chordata; Mammalia; Carnivora; Mustelidae.